GACGAACGCUGGCGGCGUGCCUAAUACAUGCAAGUUGAGCGCUGAAGGUUGGUACUUGUACCGACUGGAUGAGCAGCGAACGGGUGAGUAACGCGUGGGGAAUCUGCCUUUGAGCGGGGGACAACAUUUGGAAACGAAUGCUAAUACCGCAUAAAAACUUUAAACACAAGUUUUAUGUUUGAAAGAUGCAAUUGCAUCACUCAAAGAUGAUCCCGCGUUGUAUUAGCUAGUUGGUGAGGUAAAGGCUCACCAAGGCGAUGAUACAUAGCCGACCUGAGAGGGUGAUCGGCCACAUUGGGACUGAGACACGGCCCAAACUCCUACGGGAGGCAGCAGUAGGGAAUCUUCGGCAAUGGACGAAAGUCUGACCGAGCAACGCCGCGUGAGUGAAGAAGGUUUUCGGAUCGUAAAACUCUGUUGGUAGAGAAGAACGUUGGUGAGAGUGGAAAGCUCAUCAAGUGACGGUAACUACCCAGAAAGGGACGGCUAACUACGUG
RNAcentral lists this ribosomal RNA (497 nucleotides) under uncultured bacterium. RNAcentral describes it as "partial 16S ribosomal RNA". It matches the Rfam family "Bacterial small subunit ribosomal RNA", at positions 28 to 507 of the family's 1533-position model. The record is from RNAcentral.